AAUUCUCAACCUUUCUAGCUUUUAUAGCUUGUCAGGCUUGGAUUGUGGAAGUUGCUGGUUCAAAUACGAAUCAGCUCUUCUUAAAUGUAUUAGCAGAAACCUUUGCUGACCAUCUUUGGUAUGAUAAUUAUCUAUAUCAUUGAAAAUCAGUGUCCUUCCAAGGAGAGGCUUCGCUUCUAAUAGUCUUUUAGACAACUUGACAA
This 203-nucleotide unclassified non-coding RNA is filed under the name Entoloma hirtipes. RNAcentral describes it as "partial internal transcribed spacer 2". The record is from RNAcentral. Lineage: Eukaryota; Fungi; Basidiomycota; Agaricomycetes; Agaricales; Entolomataceae.